RNAcentral lists this ribosomal RNA (497 nucleotides) under uncultured bacterium. Its description in RNAcentral is "partial 16S ribosomal RNA". It matches the Rfam family "Bacterial small subunit ribosomal RNA", at positions 28 to 507 of the family's 1533-position model. The record is from RNAcentral.
GAUGAACGCUGGCGGCGUGCCUAAUACAUGCAAGUCGAGCGAACAGACGAGGAGCUUGCUCCUCUGACGUUAGCGGCGGACGGGUGAGUAACACGUGGAUAACCUACCUAUAAGACUGGGAUAACUUCGGGAAACCGGAGCUAAUACCGGAUAAUAUAUUGAACCGCAUGGUUCAAUAGUGAAAGACGGUUUUGCUGUCACUUAUAGAUGGAUCCGCGCCGCAUUAGCUAGUUGGUAAGGUAACGGCUUACCAAGGCAACGAUGCGUAGCCGACCUGAGAGGGUGAUCGGCCACACUGGAACUGAGACACGGUCCAGACUCCUACGGGAGGAAGCAGUAGGGAAUCUUCCGCGAUGGGCGAAAGCCGGACGGAGCAAAGCCGGGUGAGUGAUGAAGGUCUUCGGAUCGUAAAACUCUGUUAUUAGGGAAGAACAAAUGUGUAAGUAACUAUGCACGUCUUGACGGUACCUAAUCAGAAAGCCACGGCUAACUACGUG